This 968-nucleotide long non-coding RNA is filed under the name Homo sapiens (human). RNAcentral describes it as "non-protein coding LRRC75A-AS1:68". The stretch from base 179 to 250 matches the Rfam family "Small nucleolar RNA SNORD49". The record is from RNAcentral. Lineage: Eukaryota; Metazoa; Chordata; Mammalia; Primates; Hominidae.
GGCCACAUCUGCCAGAGCCUGGAGUCUGCGAAGGCCGGGACCCGGUUCCCCGGCCCACAGUGGGGGUGUGCAAACCCGAGAGAACUGGGUAAGUUGGGGUCGGCUUGCAGUUUGGGGUACCCCGAGGGCGGUGUACGUCGGUAAGAUUGUAACAGUAUUACUGGAAGACUUAUUCGACUGUCCUGAUGAUACUUGUAAUAGGAAGUGCCGUCAGAAGCGAUAACUGACGACGUCUAAUGUCUAUCUGACCGCAGUCGCUGAAACCUCUACAACUUAGUUGACCGUAACUGCCAGAGCCCUGCCCUGAAUUCCUGUCCUUACUCCCUCUUUAAGAUUGCGUACCCACUGCAGAGUGCUGAAGACGGGGUAGCCACGAGGUUGCAAAUUCGUGAAGAAUCAGCAUCAUGUUUGGCAGCUGAGUAUUGGAGCCAGGAGCCUGCCAUGAGGUUUUGAGAACAGAGUGCUGUUUUAGAGCUGGCAGCAGCAUCUCAGCCCAAGAGAAGGUUAUAUUCCCAGAGGAUGUCAGUCCCAAGGACCAGUAGCUGCCAUCAGUUUGGAUUCUGAAAACUAACUGGCAUCAACACUGGGUGUAGAAACAUGCUUGCCUUAUGUAUCAGAGGACAUGCUCAGCAGAUCCAAGAGAUAUAUUUGGCAACUUUUUCUAGAAAAGGCACAUUGGGUAUCAUUCAUUACAUUCUUGAGUUUUUUUGGGUUUUUUUUUUUUUUUUUGAGACAGUCUUGCUGUAUUGCCCAGGCUGGAGUGUGGUGGCACAAUCACAGCUCAUUGCAUCCUCAAUCACCCAGGCCUAAGCAAUCCUCCCACCUUGUAGCUGGGACUACAGCUCACAGCACACCUGGCUAAAAUUUUUUUUUUGUUGAGACGGAUUCUCUAUGUUGCCCAGGCUGGUCUCAGGCUCCUGGGCUCAGAUGGUCCUCCUGCCUCAGCUUCCAAAGGCACAGGCCAAGUU